CCUACGGGCGGCAGCAGUGAGGAAUAUUGGUCAAUGGACGGAAGUCUGAACCAGCCAUGCCGCGUGCAGGAAGACGGCUCUAUGAGUUGUAAACUGCUUUUGUACAAGGGUAAACCUGAAUACGUGUAUUCAGCUGAAAGUACUGUACGAAUAAGGAACGGCUAACUCCGUGCCAGCAGCCGCGGUAAUACGGAGGAUCCAAGCGUUAUCCGGAUUUAUUGGGUUUAAAGGGUGCGUAGGAGGAUUGAUAAGUUAGAGGUGAAAUGUCCGAGCUUAACUCGGGAACUGCCUCUAAUACUGGUGAUCGAGAGAGUAGAUGCGGUAGGCAGAAUGUAUGGUGUAGCGGUGAAAUGCUUAGAGAUCAUACAGAACACCGAUGGCGAAGGCAGCUUAC
Molecule: ribosomal RNA, 394 nt
Filed under: uncultured bacterium
Lineage: Bacteria
Description: partial 16S ribosomal RNA
Rfam family: Bacterial small subunit ribosomal RNA
Source: RNAcentral